Molecule: non-coding RNA, 725 nt
Filed under: Pongo abelii (Sumatran orangutan)
Lineage: Eukaryota; Metazoa; Chordata; Mammalia; Primates; Hominidae
Source: RNAcentral
CAGACCUGGGACCUACGUCUGCUUCCCCUGAGGAAAUGACCUCGUUUUUGAUGGCUGCUGCUAACUUAUGGUGAGAUGCUGGGUCCCUGUCCAAUACCACAUGGACAUCCAAUCAAUUUACCCAGGGACAAGUCCACUCAAGAGCAUCAUUUAGAAGAGGGAAAGGCAUUGGGGUUGUUUUUGGAGUAUGUGCUUAAGGAAAUCUAGAGUAUUCCCACAAGCAUUCUGCUGAGAUGAACAAUCAGAUGCCCUCGUGUGAGAUUUGGAGGGCAGAAGGAAAUGGAGAGCACGUUUCUGCCGCUUCUGUGGUUUCUGUCGGUAAACACAGUGACGAGGUGCUGAGUUUCCCCCAGAAAGCCUCCCAGUGUCCUGUUACCAGCUUCACAAGUUUCGAGGGCAGGGCAUGGGCAUCCAUUGUUCACCAGUGGAGAUCUGUCUGGCACAGAACUGAUCCAACCAUUGCAGUGGUCACAGCGGUGUUGGCUUUCUGAUUCUCGACCUUCCUGACCGCCAGAGGAGGCAGCCUCUUUGGUGGCCCUGUUCUGUGGUAUUGCGCUAACCAGUGGUGGGACUAAAACUGUCUCUAUAAUGUUUUGUUUCUUAAAAAAAAAUUCUGAAGCAAAUGUGACAAUAUGUUAACAUUCUUAAAAUCUGGGUAGUGGGAACAUGGAUGUUGUUAUUUGUGGUGUGUUUGAAAUUGUGUCAUAUUAUAAAUUUUAAAAAAA